This 1883-nucleotide long non-coding RNA is filed under the name Marmota monax (woodchuck). The record is from RNAcentral. Lineage: Eukaryota; Metazoa; Chordata; Mammalia; Rodentia; Sciuridae.
CUCAUAACCCGGUCAUUUCACCUCUAAGCCUUUUUGCAUUGUCUCACACAUGAGCUUUUAGGGGGCACCUAAUAUCUAAACCAUAACAAGCCUUUUGCUCACUGUUUAAAUAAGGAGGCUAAGACCCAGAGAAGGCAACUGGCUUGCCCAAGCAAGUGAUCCACAGAGGAUGGGCUACACUCCUAUCUUCAGAGUCUCAGUUCAGUGCAUCUUCCUGCCUAUCCUGUGGUCAGUGCUAAGCUUCUUUUAGCAGCAUUGCAUAUCAUUCUUCAAAAUGGAGGUGUAGCAACUAUGCCUUAUCUUCCCAGAUGAAGACCCAGACCUCAACCAGCUCUGAUAUAGACUAAGUAUGUGACCACCACACUGUUAAGAAGGGGAUGAGGUUUGCAUCUAAUGGAUGCUAUGCUCCAUCUAAUCAUGCUGUACUUCCAUGGCUCCUUACUGCCCUUCAUUUUUGUGGCUUCCUCUCACUUCUAAAAUCCUAAAAUUGGAGCAGAUUCCUUGCCAUCAACCAUCAGAGCAUGUGCAAGGCAGAGAUUGACAUUAUUUUAUGAAUAAACGUAUGAACUCUUUGCCACCUCCAGAAGGAUCUGCUGAUGACCCAAGGCCCAGAUUUCUUAGUCUUUGCUAUGAAGCUUCAGAACAGUCCCAACUGGGUCACCUUGAAUUUGGUUCAAAUUUGGUGGCACUAGCCUGUUUUCUGCAGUGUUAGAGUGACCCAGGACUUUUUCAUGUCCAAUGUUUUACUAAUCACACCUCAGAAAUAAGAACAGCAACUGCAGCAAAUCUAUGCCAUUAUAUCAUGCCUAAACAAUGUCGAAUAAGUAGCCCCCAAAAAAUUAUUGUUCACAAUCCCAGGCCCUCACCCAAAUUUCCAGAACAUGUUGCUUUUAUCCUCAAACUUUCUCUUCUCAGUGAGUGUAAAAAGUGCACGAUUUCCUGUAAUACAUGACGAGGAUGUGUGGUAAAAUUGAUGCUAAUUUCUUAAACUUCCAAAUAAUUUGCCUUCUUUGGUAACAGAGAUGAGGAGGACCUCAUAUUCUCAGGUUUUGUGUGAUGUGAGAUCUGAAAGCAGAUUACAGGAACCCUGAGACCUGUGGUUUCCCCUACUAAAAAGAUAACCACAAACUAGACCCAAACCUCUGGGUCUUCAGUUGGCUGUUAGGACAGAGCUCCAGACAAAAAUUAUGAUUCUAGUAUGAAGAACUACCUUUACACCCUAUGCUUCAAUGUAGGGUUAGACAUUUCUUAUGUUCACACUAACAUUUACAGAGUAAUAGGCAACUUGUGCCAACAAUAACCACCUGAUUAUAAUUCUGAAGUUCAUGGCCCAAAUGUUCCCAUGGACACUCUUAUUUCCUGGUGUAACUCAAAGACUAGCGAAAAUAACUAACUAAUUUGUGAGAUUUAACUGGAUAUUCAGGUUAAACCACACUCAGUACUUACAGAUUCAAUGGCUAACGUGAUAGCACUGAGUGUCCCUGUUGUUUUGACAAGGAAAUUUGACUUUGUAAAUUUCUGAGUAGAUAGGUAUGGGAAACAGAAUGUUAUGGUUUGGAUGUGAAGUGUUCCCCAAAAGCUCACAUGUGAGACAAUUCAAGAAGGUUCAGAGAGGAAAUGAUUGGUUUAACAUAAUCAGUGAAUUAAUCACUUGAUGGGAUUGAUUAAGUGGCGACUAAAGGCAGGUGGGAUAUGGCUGGAGGAGGUGGUCAUUGGGGGCAUGGCUUUGAAGAAAACAUUUGUAUUUGGUGAGUGCAGUCUCUCCUCCUGCUUCCUGAUCAUCAUGUGAGCUGCUUCCCACCAACACACUCUUCCUUGAUGAUAUUCAGCCUCAUGUGGAGCCCUGAGGAAUGGAGCCAGCUGUCUAUGGACUGAGAUCUCUG